UGAACAGGAAAACAUGACUUCCCUGUCUAGC
Molecule: non-coding RNA, 31 nt
Filed under: Rattus norvegicus (Norway rat)
Lineage: Eukaryota; Metazoa; Chordata; Mammalia; Rodentia; Muridae
Source: RNAcentral